This 253-nucleotide ribosomal RNA is filed under the name uncultured bacterium. RNAcentral's name for it is "partial 16S ribosomal RNA". It matches the Rfam family "Bacterial small subunit ribosomal RNA", at positions 524 to 776 of the family's 1533-position model. The record is from RNAcentral.
UACAGAGGUCUCGAGCGUUAGGCGGAAUCACUGGGCUUAAAGCGUGUGUAGGCGGAUCGGUAAGUACCUUGUGAAAUCCCACAGCUUAACUGUGGAACUGCUUGGUAUACUGCCAGUCUUGAGCCACUUAGGGGCUACCGGAACAAAUGGUGGAGCGGUGAAAUGCGUAGAUAUCAUUUGGAACGCCAAUGGUGAAAACAGGUAGCUGGGAGUGUGCUGACGCCGAGACACGAAAGCCAGGGGAGCAAACGGG